Molecule: ribosomal RNA, 692 nt
Filed under: uncultured bacterium
Lineage: Bacteria
Description: bacterial SSU rRNA
Rfam family: Bacterial small subunit ribosomal RNA
Source: RNAcentral
AACGCUAGCUACAGGCUUAACACAUGCAAGUCGAGGGGCAGCAUAAAAGUAGCAAUACUUUGGUGGCGACCGGCGCACGGGUGAGUAACGCGUAUGCAACCUACCUAUCAGAGGGGGAUAACCCGGCGAAAGUCGGACUAAUACCGCAUAAAACAGGGGCACCGCAUGGUGAUAUUUGUUAAAAAUUUAUUGCUGAUAGAUGGGCAUGCGUUCCAUUAGGUAGUUGGAGAGGUAACGGCUCACCAAGCCUACGAUGGAUAGGGGAACUGAGAGGUUGGUCCCCCACACUGGUACCGAGACACGGACCAGACUCCUACGGGAGGCAGCAGUGAGGAAUAUUGGUCAAUGGGCGAGAGCCUGAACCAGCCAAGUCGCGUGAAGGAAGAAGGAUCUAUGGUUCGUAAACUUCUUUUGCAGGGGAAUAAAGUGCAGGACGUGUCCUGUUUUGUAUGUACCCUGAGAAUAAGGAUCGGCUAACUCCGUGCCAGCAGCCGCGGUAAUACGGAGGAUCCGAGCGUUAUCCGGAUUUAUUGGGUUUAAAGGGUGCGUAGGUGGUUUAAUAAGUCAGCGGUGAAAGUUUGCAGCUUAACUGUAAAAAUGCCGUUGAAACUGUUAGACUUGAGUGUAAAUGAGGUAGGCGGAAUGCGUGGUGUAGCGGUGAAAUGCUUAGAUAUCACGAAGAACUCCGAUUG